Molecule: long non-coding RNA, 408 nt
Organism: Tachysurus vachellii
Lineage: Eukaryota; Metazoa; Chordata; Actinopteri; Siluriformes; Bagridae
Exons: 3
Source: RefSeq, a predicted model, not a curated record
UAUACUUGGAUUGGUCUGUAAAGAGAUACCUGGAGGUGGACAGAUCACACCAUCUUCUCUACCACCAGCUGGUUGGCUACACAACCUGAUCAAUACCAGUGGAAACAAGGCUGUGGUUUUAUAAGUAACGGUCAGACUGUCGACACACAGUGCACAAACAUAAUCCCUUUCUUCUGUUACACAUUUAUCACAGGAAAACAACAAAUAGUAAGGAUGAAGAUACAGUCGAAUCCUUAAUGAUCCUUCAGUAAAGGUGGCCAUCUUGGAGCAGAUCAAACAGAAAAUGAGUGAACAUGGAAUGGCAGAGAACAUCACAGUGAAGUGGAGAAAGAAAUCAGAUGGUAAGGUGUUCAACCAUUAGAAAGAAGAGCUCUAGAUCUUGCAUCUGAAUCUCUAAUUGUAGUGCAC